Magallana angulata is the source of this 1570-nucleotide long non-coding RNA. RefSeq lists it as uncharacterized. The transcript has 7 exons. The record is from RefSeq and is a predicted model, not a curated record. Lineage: Eukaryota; Metazoa; Mollusca; Bivalvia; Ostreida; Ostreidae.
UCUUUUCAGGCCACGUCUGUUUUCUGCAGCUUUGAUCCCAUCAUGCUCUCUGAUUCUGAGAACUUAAGAAAAUGAAAGCUUUGAGUGUGUCUUGAAUUGAUGCCACAACGCCUACUGGUUCCUGCUCAUCUGAUGCAUCUUUCUCUUGUUUCUGGUUUUUUGUGCCUGUUGGUUCAUCUUGAAUCAAAUCUAAGAAGUGAUUGAUGGAUCAAUGGGAGAAAAGCAUUAAAUAAAAUAUCAUGAAUGCAACUCCCACUGACAACAGUAGAUGGUAUUUAGGCAGUAGAUAGUGGUAAUAACAUGUACAAUCAAAUGCCAAGCCAAAUGGGAUAUUUCAAUUUAAAAAAUACCUGGUUCCAAAACUGGCUCUACUUGAGGAACUUGAACUGAAUCUUCACCUGCUUCCAAAACUGGCUCUUCUCGAGGAACUUCUUCACCUGGUUCCAAAACUGGCUCAACUCGAGGAACUUGGACUGAAUCUUCUCCUGUUCUCUGUGAUACCUGGUUCCAAAACUGGCUCUACUUGAGGAACUUGAACUGAAUCUUCACCUGCUUCCAAAACUGGCUCUACUCGAGGAACUUCUUCACCUGCUUCCAAAACUGACUCUACUCGAGGAACUUGGACUGAAUCUUCUCCUGUUCUCUGUGAUACCUGGUACCAAAACUGGCUCUACUUGAGGAACUUGAACUGAAUCUUCACCUGCUUCCAAAACUGGCUCUACUCGAGGAACUUCUUCACCUGCUUCCAAAACUGGCUCUACUCGAGGAACUUCUUCACCUGCUUCCAAAACUGGCUCUACUCGAGGAACUUGGACUGAAUCUUCUCCUGUUCUCUGUGAGCGGCAGAAUCAGUUCCGAUGCUUUGCAGUCCUGGACACACUUCCUCCAGUCCUCUGCCAGGAGCAUUUGUAGGUCCUUGUUAGACGAGGAGCGAAAAUGAAGUAAGGGAGGGUAUGAAGAACUAUCUAGCUCGUCAGGUCCAUCAUGAAACAUCACACUGCCGUCAAUUAACGACCACCACAUGUUUUCUCCACCAUACAUGAAGUCAGCAAUUCUCUGGUAAUGUGCUUGAAAUAGAGUUGGUCUUCUGCGUAUAAAAUCUAUAUCAAAUUUUGUGUUCUCUGGCUUUGGUAGGAGUUUUGCCUGGUGGCUAAUAAUUGAUUCUUGGUGUCGUACAUAGUCUUUUUUUUGUUCCACUCAUCUGUUGGGCAUUGUAUCUUAACACAGCAUUGUCGAUUAUUUUGCCGCAUUGCCUGUUGGCUGUAUUUAAGGAAAUGCUGCGAAGAUCACCAAAUGUCCUUUCCUCUUGCUCUGGUAUGAGUGAGCGUAGACACACUAAUCUGUAAGUUUCAGGUGUGUGAACGGUCAGGCUAUGAAAGUGGCAGCCAUAGAAUUUUCUUGCAGUCAUUUUCUUUGGUAUGCUGAUAACUGUUUUUGAAAGGAUGCUGAAUUUAAAGCAUAGAUUGUACAGUCGAAGAAUUUUCUUUUGUGUUCUCUGUUCAUAUGGACUAUAGCAAAUGGAUAUUAUUUCUACUAAUGAUGUGCAAAGGUCGUAAAUAUCUUUACUGAU